GAUGAACGCUGGCGGCGUGCUUAACACAUGCAAGUCGAACGGUGAAGCAGAGCUUGCUCUGUGGAUCAGUGGCGAACGGGUGAGUAACACGUGAGCAACCUGCCCCUGACUCUGGGAUAAGCGCUGGAAACGGCGUCUAAUACUGGAUAUGAGCUGCGACCGCAUGGUCAGCAGUUGGAAAGAUUUUUCGGUCUGGGAUGGGCUCACGGCCUAUCAGCUUGUUGGUGAGGUAAUGGCUCACCAAGGCGUCGACGGGUAGCCGGCCUGAGAGGGUGACCGGCCACACUGGGACUGAGACACGGCCCAGACUCCUACGGGCGGCAGCAGUGGGGAAUAUUGCACAAUGGGCGAAAGCCUGAUGCAGCAACGCCGCGUGAGGGAUGACGGCCUUCGGGUUGUAAACCUCUUUUAGCAGGGAAGAAGCGAAAGUGACGGUACCUGCAGAAAAAGCGCCGGCUAACUACGUG
Molecule: ribosomal RNA, 467 nt
Filed under: uncultured bacterium
Lineage: Bacteria
Description: partial 16S ribosomal RNA
Rfam family: Bacterial small subunit ribosomal RNA
Source: RNAcentral